GAACAUGAGUUGUGUUAGUUUUGCAAAAGCUAAAGAGAAUUAGUUUUAUAAUUCCAUGUUUU
Molecule: transfer RNA, 62 nt
Filed under: Taenia solium (pork tapeworm)
Lineage: Eukaryota; Metazoa; Platyhelminthes; Cestoda; Cyclophyllidea; Taeniidae
Description: tRNA-Cys
Source: RNAcentral